This is a long non-coding RNA of Ipomoea nil (Japanese morning glory), 487 nucleotides long. RefSeq lists it as uncharacterized. The record is from RefSeq and is a predicted model, not a curated record. Lineage: Eukaryota; Viridiplantae; Streptophyta; Magnoliopsida; Solanales; Convolvulaceae. The transcript is spliced from 4 exons.
GAUUUAUUUCGCCAAACCUCGCCAGUCAUGUUCAGAAGGAAUUUAGCCAUCAAGGUUUCGCCAAACCUCGCCAAAUCGCAAGGAUAUCGCAGGUUAAAUUAGGGGAAGAGGGCUGGAAAGACAGAUAUUAUGCAGAAAAAAUUGGGGUUGAAUAUGUUGAAGAUUGUGAUAGGGUUCGUAGGGAUACAGUAAGGAUAUUCAUUCUUGCUGUACUGCCUUUAAACAUGAAAAGAACUAGAAUAUUCCAAUCCAGUUGUUUUGAAAUAUGCUGAAGGGAUAUGUUGGGUAAUGCAUUAUUACUGCCAAGGAGUCUGCUCCUGGCAAUGGUUUUAUCCUUACCACUAUGCUCCCUUUGCAUCUGAUUUUCAUGGUUUUGAUCAAUUAGACAUAACUUUCACACUAGGCAAGCCCUUCAAGCCUUUUGAUCAAUUGAUAGGUGUCCUUCCAGCUGCAAAGUUUUUGGACUUAUUUAUACUUUUUUUUUUUG